AACAUAAAGUUAAUUUUGAUUAUUUGAUCAAUACAGUAUCGAUACGUAAAUUAAAAAAUAAUUCCUCCAUUUGUAUGUCACUAUUGUAUUGGUACGAACUUAUCAUGAAGAUGGUAACCGGAUAAAGCAUUCAAGCUCAAAUUACACAAAAAAGAAAAAAUAUUCUCUUAAUUAUAACAUAAUUGGUAGUACAUGCGACAGAUCUGAGACGAGGAUAUUUGGGUAAUUGCACCAACUGGGGGAGACAUACAUGUCUAGGAACUUGUUGCAGCAAGACUAAGUGGGAAAAAUCCAAGAACAGCACCAUCCUCGACCAUGUGCGACUCCACCCAACUUCAGAUCAAACCCUAAAACCGCUGCAGCACUUAUUUUAACCUUGAAACUGCUUUUCAAAAUAACAACAUAAUCAAAUCAAAUCAAACCUAACCUACCUAGAUACAGGUUAUUAAUUGGAAGCCUUGACAAAUAUAUAUAUAUACACAAAAAAAACUUGAAACUGAAAACGAGUAAACUAAAUUUAUUCUGCUUUGAAACCCUAGCAGAAUAAACACCAAAUGUGGAUAGGAAUGGAAGGAUUUAAGUAUCGUAGUAACUAAGCCUGGAUACUGUCAUAGAGGAAUUAGCAUCUAAAAUAAAACAAGGGAGUUGCAUAGUGUGUUUUAAUGGGUUCCUGAAUCACAAUUAACUAAUCCCAUUAGCUGCAAAAACUCCCUGAUUCGGUCACCGAGCAGUCCGACAACCCUCCACUUACCCAAGAUGACCCCUUCAAAAACUCUCUGAUUCGUUGCAUACUCCCUCCGAAGUGGUAUUGAUUUGAUGGCGAAGCUGUUAUUUUGCAAAUAACUAGUUAACCUUUCAAGUAAUCAGACCUAAAAAAACAUAAUCUUGCUAGAAGUAUAUUGCUGGAAUAACAAACACACACUCACACACACACACACACACAUAUAUAUAUAUAGGUGUGUCGAUCCACAUUUUUCUUAUACUUUACUCGUAAUUAUAUAAUCAACACAAAUAAAUAAAUUUGUGUAUUUAUAAAUAGGCAUGAUAAAAUAUUUAGUGAGAUAAGGGAGCUCCCUUCAGUCCAAGUACAGGAAGCUUAAGACUCAAUCUGCCUCCCGCAUCAUUCACUCAGUUACCCAUUAUAUAUAAAAUAAAGAGUAUUUGUAUGAAUGAGUCGGCAGCUAAUUGAACCCUACAUGCCACCCAUGAGUGGACUGAAGAAAGCUCUCUCUCUUCUCCUUCAUUAUUUUAUUUCAUAACUAAUUAAUUAUUAAAAUACAAAUUAAAGCUACAUAUAUAUACACAAUGAAAACAACUCUAGCACUACAUCAGAGCUGCCUGCUCAUAGCAAAAGAUCCACUUAGUUUCAAAAUCAAGUUAAGAUACUCUACAUACAUACAUAAUAUAUAUAUCAUCUCACAAAGAAUUUGAAAGAGAAAAUAGGUGAAAAGAAGGUUGCAUAAAGUUUGGAUGAAAAGGAUAAAGAAAGAAAAAAGAAGGGUUAAUAAGAAGAGAGAGAGCUAGCUAGCUAGAGGCUUGAAUGAUAUACCGGAAGAGAAAUGUUUCUACUUAUUCCAGUAGAGUAGUGUCUCACUAGCUCACAAGUC
This 1607-nucleotide long non-coding RNA is filed under the name Panax ginseng (ginseng). RNAcentral's name for it is "long non-coding RNA (PGIN_LNC017799)". The stretch from base 1056 to 1241 matches the Rfam family "MIR159 microRNA precursor family". Lineage: Eukaryota; Viridiplantae; Streptophyta; Magnoliopsida; Apiales; Araliaceae. The record is from RNAcentral.